RNAcentral lists this ribosomal RNA (770 nucleotides) under uncultured bacterium. RNAcentral describes it as "bacterial SSU rRNA". It matches the Rfam family "Bacterial small subunit ribosomal RNA", at positions 112 to 884 of the family's 1533-position model. The record is from RNAcentral.
AACAUGUAUGCAACCUACCUACAACAGGGGAAUAACCCGGAGUAAUUCGGACUAAUACCGCAUAUACAGGGGUCCGCAUGGGAAUAUUUGUUAAAGAUUUAUCGGUUGUAGAUGGGCCUGCGUUCCAUUAGGUAGUUGGUAGAGUAACGGCCUACCAAGCCGACGAUGGAUAGGGGAACUGAGAGGUUUAUCCCCCACACUGGAACUGAGACACGGACCAGACUCCUACGGGAGGCAGCAGUGAGGAAUAUUGGUCAAUGGUCGAGAGACUGAACCAGCCAAAUCGCGUGAAGGAAGACUGCCUUAUGGGUUGUAAACUUCUUUUUUACAGGAAUAAAAGACAUUACGUGUAAUGUAUUGCAUGUACUGUAAGAAUAAGCAUCGGCUAACUCCGUGCCAGCAGCCGCGGUAAUACGGAGGAAGCAAGCGUUAUCCGGAUUUAUUGGGUUUAAAGGGUGCGCAGGCGGGCAUUUAAGUCAGCGGUGAAAUUUCCAGGCUCGACCUGGGCACUGCCGUUGAAACUGGGCGCCUUGAGUAUAGAUGAAGUAGGCGGAAUUCGUUGUGUAGCGGUGACAUGCUUAGAUAUAACGAGGAACUCCGAUUGCGUAGGCAGCUUACUAAACUAUAACUGACGCUCAAGCACGAAAGCGUGGGGAUCAAACAGGAUUAGAUACCCUGGUAGUCCACGCCGUAAACGAUGAUUACUAGUUGUAUGCGAUAUAUGGUAUGUGUCUUAGCGAAAGCGAUAAGUAAUCCACCUGGGGAGUACG